Molecule: transfer RNA, 90 nt
Filed under: Vibrio virus vB_VspP_SBP1
Lineage: Duplodnaviria; Heunggongvirae; Uroviricota; Caudoviricetes; Schitoviridae
Rfam family: tRNA
About the family: Transfer RNA (tRNA) molecules are approximately 80 nucleotides in length. Their secondary structure includes four short double-helical elements and three loops (D, anti-codon, and T loops). Further hydrogen bonds mediate the characteristic L-shaped molecular structure. tRNAs have two regions of fundamental functional importance: the anti-codon, which is responsible for specific mRNA codon recognition, and the 3' end, to which the tRNAs corresponding amino acid is attached (by aminoacyl-tRNA synthetases). tRNAs cope with the degeneracy of the genetic code in two manners: having more than one tRNA (with a specific anti-codon) for a particular amino acid; and 'wobble' base-pairing, i.e. permitting non-standard base-pairing at the 3rd anti-codon position.
Source: Rfam by way of RNAcentral
GGAGAAUUGGCUGAGUGGUCGAAGGCAGCUGGUUGCUAACCAGACGGCUGGCGUUAAGUCGGUCCAAGGGUUCAAAUCCCUUAUUCUCCU